RNAcentral lists this ribosomal RNA (139 nucleotides) under Mesadenella sp. Szlachetko s.n. RNAcentral describes it as "5.8S ribosomal RNA". It matches the Rfam family "5.8S ribosomal RNA", at positions 1 to 136 of the family's 154-position model. Rfam says of the family: 5.8S ribosomal RNA (5.8S rRNA) is a component of the large subunit of the eukaryotic ribosome. It is transcribed by RNA polymerase I as part of the 45S precursor that also contains 18S and 28S rRNA. Functionally, it is thought that 5.8S rRNA may be involved in ribosome translocation. The record is from RNAcentral. Lineage: Eukaryota; Viridiplantae; Streptophyta; Magnoliopsida; Asparagales; Orchidaceae.
UGACUCUCGGCAAUGGAUAUCUUGGCUCUUGCAUCGAUGAAGAGCGCAGCGAAAUGCGAUACGUGGUGUGAAUUGCAGAAUCCCGUGAACCAUCGAGUUUUUGAACGCAAGUUGCGCCCGAGGCCAAUUGGCUGAGGGC